AAAAUACUCCCUCCGUCCGGAAAAGUUUGUCCCUCAAAUGGAUGUAUCUAGCAUCAAGUUAGUGCUAGAUACAUCCAUUUGUGACACAAGCUUGGGACAAGCUUUUUCGGACGGAGGGAGUAUAUA
Non-coding RNA from Triticum aestivum (bread wheat), 126 nucleotides. The record is from Rfam. NCBI's taxonomy places the organism in Eukaryota, Viridiplantae, Streptophyta, Magnoliopsida, Poales, Poaceae.